GGGGUUGUGGCUCAGUGGUAGAGUGCUCACCUAGCAUGUGUGAGGCCCUGGGUUCCAUCCUCAGGACCACA
Molecule: transfer RNA, 71 nt
Filed under: Marmota marmota marmota (Alpine marmot)
Lineage: Eukaryota; Metazoa; Chordata; Mammalia; Rodentia; Sciuridae
Also listed under: 1 other name
Rfam family: tRNA
About the family: Transfer RNA (tRNA) molecules are approximately 80 nucleotides in length. Their secondary structure includes four short double-helical elements and three loops (D, anti-codon, and T loops).
Source: Rfam by way of RNAcentral